Molecule: ribosomal RNA, 253 nt
Filed under: uncultured bacterium
Lineage: Bacteria
Description: partial 16S ribosomal RNA
Rfam family: Bacterial small subunit ribosomal RNA
Source: RNAcentral
UACGUAGGUGGCGAGCGUUGUCCGGAUUUACUGGGCGUAAAGCGCGCGCAGGCGGUUCGUUAAGUCCGGUCUGAAAGCCCCCGGCUCAACCGGGGAGGGUGGCUGGAAACUGGCGUUCUUGAGGGCGAGAGAGGAGGGUGGAAUUCCUGGUGUAGCGGUGAAAUGCGUAGAGAUCAGGAGGAACACCCGGGGCGAAGGCGGCCCUCUGGCUCGACCCUGACGCUGAGGCGCGAAAGCGUGGGGAGCGAACGGG